CUAGCCGUAAACGAUGGGUACUAGGUGUAGGAGGUUUCGAUACCUUCUGUGCCGCAGUUAACGCAAUAAGUACCCCGCCUGGGGAGUACGUGCGCAAGCAUGAAACUCAAAGGAAUUGAC
This 120-nucleotide ribosomal RNA is filed under the name uncultured bacterium. RNAcentral's name for it is "partial 16S ribosomal RNA". It matches the Rfam family "Bacterial small subunit ribosomal RNA", at positions 796 to 914 of the family's 1533-position model. The record is from RNAcentral.